GAUGAAGAACGCAGCGAAAUGCGAUAAGUAAUGUGAAUUGCAGAAUUCAGUGAAUCAUCGAAUCUUUGAACGCACAUUGCGCCCGCCAGUAUUCUGGCGGGCAUGCCUGUUCGAGCGUCAUUUCAACCAUCAAGCCCCAGGCUUGUGUUGGGGACCUGCGACUGCCGCAGGCCCUGAAAACCAGUGGCGGGCUCGCUGUCACACCGGGCGUAGUAGAUUUUAUCUCGCUCAGGGCGUGCUGCGGGUUCCGGCCGUUAAAAAGCCUUUUUUACCCAAGGUUGACCUCGGAUCAGGUAGGAAGACCCGCUGAACUUAAGCAUAUCAAUAAGCGGAGGA
RNAcentral lists this unclassified non-coding RNA (336 nucleotides) under soil metagenome. Its description in RNAcentral is "partial contains 5.8S ribosomal RNA, internal transcribed spacer 2, and large subunit ribosomal RNA". The stretch from base 1 to 120 matches the Rfam family "5.8S ribosomal RNA", at positions 35 to 154 of the family's 154-position model. The record is from RNAcentral.